Asterias rubens (European starfish) is the source of this 725-nucleotide long non-coding RNA. RefSeq lists it as uncharacterized. Lineage: Eukaryota; Metazoa; Echinodermata; Asteroidea; Forcipulatida; Asteriidae. The transcript has 5 exons. The record is from RefSeq and is a predicted model, not a curated record.
UGUCUCUACUUGUAAAGCAGUGACAACAACCCAUGGCCAGACCCCCAAACCUGUUUGGAUGAGCAUCUCUUAGAGUGAACAAGUGCAAAGAGUCCAACCAGACUGUUGAUUGAGACAAUGGCUUCUGGAGAUAACCUAAACCCCAAGCUUGAGGCUACAAUCAAUGCUUUUUGGGACAGAGUUCCAUCAACUAAAGAAAGGACUGUGUCAAGUCCAGCCAGACGACUCUAAUACAGGUUACAAGUUUAACUUGACUGUUGAGAUUGAGAUGAUACCCUUUGGGGUGGCAUACACCCAAUUUGGAGGCUACAAUCAAUGUUUUUUUUUUAAUGAGUUACACCAACCAAGAUAGGACUGUGUCAAGUCGACCCAGUGACUCUCGGAGGGUUUAACUGAUGAGUUGAGCAAUCGCUGGUCGAAUGCUCCCACCUGUUUGAAUGAGCAUCGUUUGAAAAAGGUGCAAAAAGACAACAUACCGCUUGAUUGAGAUGAUGCCCAUACAACCAAUCUUGAUGCUGAUCAAUGCCACUGUCUGAAGGAGGACUGUGCCAAGUCAAGCCCAGUGAAACUCUGCUCAACUCUUGAAGUGACGUAGGAUGUUGAGAAUGAGCCUAACCAUUGAUAUUGCACUGCAUGCAACCCGCUGAAGGACUACGUCAAGUUUAGCAAGUCGACUCUCCGCUACAACUUGAACUUACUCGUAAGUACUUUUUGGAAGUACUUUU